RNAcentral lists this ribosomal RNA (248 nucleotides) under uncultured bacterium. RNAcentral's name for it is "partial 16S ribosomal RNA". It matches the Rfam family "Bacterial small subunit ribosomal RNA", at positions 118 to 347 of the family's 1533-position model. The record is from RNAcentral.
UGGGUAACCUGCCUCAAAGAGGGGAAUAGCCUCCCGAAAGGGGGAUUAAUACCGCAUAAUAUGUUUAAGUCGCAUGACUUUAACAUCAAAGGAUUUUCUUUUAGAAAUUUCCACUUUGAGAUGGACCCGCGGCGCAUUAGCUAGUUGGUGAGGUAACGGCUCACCAAGGCAACGAUGCGUAGCCGACCUGAGAGGGUGAUCCGGCCACAUUGGAACUGAGACACGGCCCAGACUCCGUACGGGAGCAG